CACAAAAGUAAUAUUAAAAUAUUAGAAAAUUUUAUCUUCAAUAGCAGUAGAAGUCAUCUGUGGUUCUCAGAAUUUUGAUUUGUCUUAAUUUUUAUCCUUUUAGAUUUUCAAAAAUUUCAAGUUUUCAUUUUGUAAUAAAAAUACCAUAAGCAGAAAAAACCCAUGUAAUAACUAUUAAGUUUUAAGAACAUCUGUGAAGGAUAUCAGAAUGGUUCUUGGCUCCAUUCUAAAUUGUAGAGUGAUGAUAUAUUAAGUGUCUUCACCGUGGUAAUUCUGUGCAAUGGCACUUGUAUAUAUGCAUAUCAAACCGCCAUGUUGGAUGCUUUGACUUCCUUAGUCCUCACUUGACAGGGAAGUGUAUUGAAGUCAGGAAAGCUUGUGGGCAUAUGAACUGUGGGCUGUGUGUGCAAACCUGAGUAUGGUGUGCCCAAGCCGUGCUGUGCUCUAGUGGAACCACAGAACCCGGAACUUAAAUAGUAACUGUCAAAUCACAAAGCCCUGAGGUCUGUUGGAAGCUACCAAAAGCUGCAGGGAGGGCUAUGAAGGUCUCAGGUCCCAGGACUCCCUUGAAUCAUGCACGCUUUGAACUCAAAGCGCAGACAGGUGUUUCAUGCUGUGGGUUCCUUAGGAUGUAAGCACCGGGCUCUGAAGGACUACAGUGAAAAUUCUUGAAUCAUCCGAGAGUCUGUGCACUGCCCCUCGCCCACCGUACUUGACUUUCCUGAGGAUGACCUCGAAGGCAAACUGCCUUUACAGAGAAUGUUUCGAGGAUGAAGGACAACUGUAAGAAGCUCUGUGCUGUGCAGGUUUGAAGCAGCCAUGUGAUAAGCAACAUCAUCUCCUUUAUCAUCUACAGCAGAUCCAGCCUUCUCUGUAGCCCCCGGGACUACAGAUGCUAGCUUACGAGAAAUGCUAAGCAACUGAGAGCAUUCCCAGGCACGAGAAGGCAGGAGGCAGCAAUGCCAAGGAGGAUGCUCUGACUUCUCGCAUCUAUGCUGAAGGAGGUGCAAGCAGGGGAGAUGGGCUAGGCUUGCUCUCACCUUAGAGUAGAACAUUCAUUCCUUUCCCCAAGAUUGCCCAGAGCCAUCAGUGGGAAGCCUAAUCCAUUUCAUCUCCCACAUAAUAGUCUGAGAGGUACACCUAGCAUCCUUGACAGGAAGACUGAGGAUGGAAACCAACUACUCCUGGGCCUAGGAGAGAGGACAUGUAUCUAAUCUUCCCAGUUAUUACCUCCUUCUUGAAGCACUUGGCAUGUUCUUCACAGCCCAGAAGAGACUGUACGAACUCAGCCACCUACGACACAGGACAAAAGAGAUGAAUUUAAAACAUACACUUGAAAUAAACUUGGGGGUUUGGAGUAACUCAACUUGCAGAUAAAAAAACACCCCAAGGUCCAAACACUUGGAAUUUAAAUAGUAACUAUCAAAUCACAUUACCAUAUUUUUAGCUCA
Non-coding RNA from Rattus norvegicus (Norway rat), 1451 nucleotides. Lineage: Eukaryota; Metazoa; Chordata; Mammalia; Rodentia; Muridae. The record is from RefSeq and is a predicted model, not a curated record.